RNAcentral lists this transfer RNA (62 nucleotides) under Columbicola passerinae. RNAcentral's name for it is "tRNA-Arg". The record is from RNAcentral. Lineage: Eukaryota; Metazoa; Arthropoda; Insecta; Psocodea; Philopteridae.
UAGUGGUUAGUAUAUCAAAUACAUUAGAUUUCGACUCUAAAAAUACUCAUCCGUACCACUAA